RNAcentral lists this unclassified non-coding RNA (337 nucleotides) under Hevea brasiliensis (rubber tree). The record is from RNAcentral. Lineage: Eukaryota; Viridiplantae; Streptophyta; Magnoliopsida; Malpighiales; Euphorbiaceae.
GUAAAAAAUAUGAAAUUAGCUACGAAAAUUAUCGAUACGUACCAAGAGAUAUAUGCCACAAGCAAUCAAGAAAGUCCAAUAACGUCCAAGAUAAGCAUCAGCAAAGUAGGCUCCCAAAAUAGGAGUCAUCCAUAUAGUUCCAACCCAAUUUGUGACAUUAUUUGAUGAUUUAACAGUGCCUUGAUGCAAUUUUUCUGUUAAAUAUAUUACUAAAUUUGAUGAUAUACCAUAGUAUGCCAUACGUUCGAAAACUUCAUAUACAACAAUGAAGGAACAAGCUUUCCAUCCACCAGUAUUGGAUCUAAGUAUAGGAUUGCCUUUGAGAUUCACAGUUCCA